Etheostoma spectabile (orangethroat darter) is the source of this 338-nucleotide long non-coding RNA. RefSeq lists it as uncharacterized. The transcript has 3 exons. The record is from RefSeq and is a predicted model, not a curated record. Lineage: Eukaryota; Metazoa; Chordata; Actinopteri; Perciformes; Percidae.
UAACCCCCGAAUAACUUCACUUGUAGCGUUAAUGUUAGCUGUACAAAUAGACUAUUAAUCUAAUACUAAUUUAGCCAGCUAUCACACUGUGGUCUUUCUUCCUCACUCUCCCGGUGCAGACAGACUCAGUCGGCGUGAGAGCUAACAACAGCCCCAGGACAUAUAGCUAGCUAGUUACUGUUAGCCUCCAGUCAGCUAGCAGCCAGGCACUUUACUUACAGCAAUCCAACCGGCCGGCCCUUAGCUCCAGUGCCUGGUGCUUACGACGCUAACAGCAGUUUAAUGAAGCGUCUGGAAACAGUUCAUAUUAGACCCAGGCACCCGAGUCACAACAGCGG